Solanum tuberosum (potato) is the source of this 254-nucleotide long non-coding RNA. RefSeq lists it as uncharacterized. Lineage: Eukaryota; Viridiplantae; Streptophyta; Magnoliopsida; Solanales; Solanaceae. The record is from RefSeq and is a predicted model, not a curated record. The transcript has 2 exons.
GCUUAGUGCAGUUUUUUUUCAAUAGUUAACUCAUUCCCACUUUCUCCAUUUCAUUCUAGGAAAUUAAUAAAUUUUGCGCUUUGCCAUUGUUGAAAUUUCCAAACACGCAGAAAGAGCAAAUACAGUUCAGGUAACAAUCUCUUUCCCAAGUUCAAAUUUCAGUCGUAUCAUGUAUGUGUGAUUAUUGCUCUGUUUCAGCUUCUCCUUGGGUUCUAUCAUUAUUACCCUUAUUUAGAAGAGACAGUUAGAGAGGA